UGUCUGGGAAACUGCCUGAUGGAGGGGGAGUAACUACUGGAAACGGUAGCUAAUACCGCAUAACGUCGCAAGACCAAAGAGGGGGGACCUUCGGGCCUCUUGCCAUCGGAUGUGCCCAGAUGGGAUUAGCUAGUAGGUGGGGUAACGGCUCACCUAGGCGACGAUCCCUAGCUGGUCUGAGAGGAUGACCAGCCACACUGGAACUGAGACACGGUCCAGACUCCUACGGGAGGCAGCAUG
This 240-nucleotide ribosomal RNA is filed under the name uncultured bacterium. RNAcentral's name for it is "partial 16S ribosomal RNA". It matches the Rfam family "Bacterial small subunit ribosomal RNA", at positions 114 to 353 of the family's 1533-position model. The record is from RNAcentral.